Molecule: transfer RNA, 87 nt
Filed under: Candidatus Woesearchaeota archaeon
Lineage: Archaea; Nanobdellati; Candidatus Woesearchaeota
Description: tRNA-OTHER
Rfam family: tRNA
About the family: Transfer RNA (tRNA) molecules are approximately 80 nucleotides in length. Their secondary structure includes four short double-helical elements and three loops (D, anti-codon, and T loops).
Source: RNAcentral
GCCCCUGUGGCUUAGAGGCUAAAGCGGCUGACAAAUUUUUCAGCAGUCGUAAUCAGCAGAUCGGGAGUUCAAAUCUCCCCAGGGGCU